This 301-nucleotide ribosomal RNA is filed under the name uncultured bacterium. Its description in RNAcentral is "partial 16S ribosomal RNA". It matches the Rfam family "Bacterial small subunit ribosomal RNA", at positions 509 to 808 of the family's 1533-position model. The record is from RNAcentral.
CAGUCGCCGCGGGAAUACGUAGGGUGCGAGCGUUAAUCGGAAUUACUGGGCGUAAAGCGUGCGCAGGCGGUUUUGUAAGACAGGCGUGAAAUCCCCGGGCUCAACCUGGGAAUGGCGCUUGUGACUGCAAAGCUAGAGUGCGGCAGAGGGGGAUGGAAUUCCGCGUGUAGCAGUGAAAUGCGUAGAUAUGCGGAGGAACACCGAUGGCGAAGGCAAUCCCCUGGGCCUGCACUGACGCUCAUGCACGAAAGCGUGGGGAGCAAACAGGAUUAGAUACCCCGUAGUCCCUGUCUCUUAUACA